RNAcentral lists this ribosomal RNA (510 nucleotides) under Hindsiclava alesidota. Its description in RNAcentral is "partial large subunit ribosomal RNA". It matches the Rfam family "Bacterial large subunit ribosomal RNA", at positions 1817 to 2597 of the family's 2925-position model. The record is from RNAcentral. Lineage: Eukaryota; Metazoa; Mollusca; Gastropoda; Neogastropoda; Pseudomelatomidae.
GGCUCCUUGUGACAAGAAAAAUAGGGAGUCGGACCUGCCCAGUGAAAUUUUUUAACGGCCGCGGUACUCUGACCGUGCAAAGGUAGCAUAAUAAUUUGCCUUAUAAUUGAAGGCUAGUAUGAAUGGUUUGACAAGAAUAUUACUGUCUCUUUAUAGUUUGUUAGAAUUUUAUUUUAAGGUGAAGAAGCCUUAAUAUAAUUGAUAGACAAGAAGACCCUAUCGAGCUUUAAAAAAUUUAGAAGAUUAAUUUUAAUAAUGUUAAUAAAACAAACUUUUAAAAAUUUUGGUUGGGGCGACUGAGGAACAAUAAAAGCUUCCUUUAAUAUUUUUUUAGCUUGCAGGUUUUGAUCCAAAAAUUUUGAUUAAAGAAAUUAGUUACCGUAGGGAUAACAGCAUUAUCUUUUUUGAGAGCUCUUAUCGAAAAAAAGGUUUGUGACCUCGAUGUUGGACCAGAAUAUCCUAAAGGUGCAGAAGCCUUUAAGGGUUGGUCUGUUCGACCAUUAAAAUUCU